AACAUAAGCUAUUGCAUGCUGAUGACCAUUUUGGUUACCAACACCACCAGGUCUACCAGACUCUGGUUUAGAAAUGGUAGAAAAAUUUGUUUUCCUACCAUAACUUUUCAUAUUACUUGCUCUUAAAAUGUCAUCUUUUUUUGUUCUUCUAAUUGGAAUGGUUCCUUCUGGGCAUUUCCCAUUCAAAUGCCAUAGUUGAUUAAUUGAUUUUGAUCCAUAAUUCUUAUUCUUUGCUGCAGUAGACAUUUUCCCAUCACGAAAUAGCCCUUCUGGAUGAUAAUUUGGCAUCAUCUGUACGGUGUGAUUCUUCAAUAAAGGAUGAUCAAAAGCUGGUUGGUGAGAUAUAUGAACACAAUCGAUUAUAUCACCAUCUGGGCUCUUGAUAGAUUUGACAGCAGGUUUGUUUAAACGAUUCAAAUGUUUUUGAAUCUCAAAUUUUUGGGAAGAAAGAGACAUGCCCUGUUUAGCUUGUGCAGCAUCACUAUCACAUAACAGAAGUAACACCAUAAACAGCACAGACAAGCAAAACAUCUCCGUUUUUACAUUAUCCAUUAAUAACUAUAUUUCCCCAAGCUUUUUUCAGAUGAAGUGGGGUUUCUUGAAUUCUUCAACCAUGAAGAUAAAAGUGAAAUCUUUGAUUCAAAAAAAAAAAACAGGUU
Molecule: unclassified non-coding RNA, 659 nt
Filed under: Hevea brasiliensis (rubber tree)
Lineage: Eukaryota; Viridiplantae; Streptophyta; Magnoliopsida; Malpighiales; Euphorbiaceae
Source: RNAcentral